Molecule: ribosomal RNA, 552 nt
Filed under: uncultured bacterium
Lineage: Bacteria
Description: partial 16S ribosomal RNA
Source: RNAcentral
UAANAAUUGAAAAUGUGAACACANGUUACAAUNCACGAGAUCGAAAAGUAUGUNUUAUCUCGCUGAUAUCUCUAUGAAAGAUCUCUAUCAUGAAAAUAGUGANCAUAGCUAAUACUAGUCUACGANCUACAUCUUGGUACUGCUUCGCUAUCCUCUACGAUCUAUGCUACUCUCANUCCNACGUCCANCUGCGCUCUCUAACCCCUANCUUGUUCUUUGUAUUCUUUUNAGUCCNUUUUUGGUUUUUUUUUAUGUUCCCUCUCCCCCCNCCCUCCCCCCCCCCGCCCCCCCCCCCGGUCCCUCCCCCCCCCCCCACCCUCCCCCCCAUCCACCACUAUCAGGUUCCCUCUCUCCAUCCCCCCCUCCCACCCAUCACNACCCUNCCCCCCCCCACCCUCCCGCCACCCCCUCCUCUCCACCCUCGCUACCUGCGCCCGCCCCCGGGAAANUAUUUACCUAAAAGAAUAGGGGUAGAGUUUUUGAUAUCCCUAAAACACUGUGUGUUAGUGUUGGUUUUUUAUAUAGUAUUUUAUACAAACCUUGGGGCCCCGG